GAGCCCGUGGUCUAGCGGUAUGAUACGACAUUCACACUGUCGUGGUCGCCGGUUCGAACCCGGCCGGGCUCA
This 72-nucleotide transfer RNA is filed under the name Candidatus Woesearchaeota archaeon. Its description in RNAcentral is "tRNA-Val". It matches the Rfam family "tRNA". Rfam says of the family: Transfer RNA (tRNA) molecules are approximately 80 nucleotides in length. Their secondary structure includes four short double-helical elements and three loops (D, anti-codon, and T loops). Further hydrogen bonds mediate the characteristic L-shaped molecular structure. tRNAs have two regions of fundamental functional importance: the anti-codon, which is responsible for specific mRNA codon recognition, and the 3' end, to which the tRNAs corresponding amino acid is attached (by aminoacyl-tRNA synthetases). tRNAs cope with the degeneracy of the genetic code in two manners: having more than one tRNA (with a specific anti-codon) for a particular amino acid; and 'wobble' base-pairing, i.e. permitting non-standard base-pairing at the 3rd anti-codon position. The record is from RNAcentral. Lineage: Archaea; Nanobdellati; Candidatus Woesearchaeota.